CCGAGUACUACACUCUCUACCCUUUGUGAACUAUUAUACCUGUUGCUUCGGCGGCGCCCGCAAGGGUGCCCGCCGGUCUCAUCAGAAUCUCUGUUUUCGAACCCGACGAUACUUCUGAGUGUUCUUAGCGAACUGUCA
This 138-nucleotide unclassified non-coding RNA is filed under the name soil metagenome. RNAcentral describes it as "partial internal transcribed spacer 1". The record is from RNAcentral.